RNAcentral lists this long non-coding RNA (832 nucleotides) under Coffea arabica (coffee). RNAcentral's name for it is "long non-coding RNA (CARA_LNC001056)". Lineage: Eukaryota; Viridiplantae; Streptophyta; Magnoliopsida; Gentianales; Rubiaceae. The record is from RNAcentral.
UUUUUUUUUUUUUUUUUUAUUUUAUAAAUCUUAUUGUAUUAGGAGGAGAAGUCUUCGGGAAAGGGACGGUGGGAGGAGAGGGACGCCUCCUGCUGCUGAUUCUGUGAUGUUCCUGUCUGCUGCUACUGUUCCUUGACAGAGAUGAUGUUGAACAACACUCUAGGAAGAAAUUUAAACUCCUCCCAGUAGCCAUCAGACCAAAACCAAGUAAUUUUGCAUUAUCUUGAAUUAACAUAAUACGUCGACACGUAAAUUUCAAUUGUCUGGUCAAUGGAAUUGAAUACCACCUCCGCUUUAGCAUGCACAUCCCAACAAUGCAUUAGAUUCACAUAGAAUUACCUUCUCUUUGCUUGGGCCUGGAUGGCAAAUUGAGUCUUAACCUGUUACUUCUUUCCCUAGAAAUGUUCUCAUCUUUCUCCUCUCUUCCUUUUUUUACCCUGUUUUUUUUUUUUCCUUUUGGUGUAAAGGUUUUAGUUUUGAAAUUACCAAAUAUCCCAUCUCUAUUACCAGACACAGAGAGAGAAAUGAACGCCUUCCUUUACUUGUACAAACAAAGCCUGCUCAAAAUUUUAAUAUGUUUAAAAAUUGAACGAGUAACGUUGUAGUAAAUUACUGCACAAAAUUACACUGCAUGUAAAUAAUUAGUCCACUUACAUUAUAAAGGGGUAAAAAGAAACAGAAAAUCCCUCUCUCUAACUUUUUUUUCCCUUUCCUUAAUCGUUAGUAUAAUACACAAUACAAAAUUUUAAUCGCCAAAAAUUUUUCCCUAGGACUAAAAGCGGUUGCCUGUUGGCUGAGAUAGAAGAAACCAUGUCAAAAAAUGCCUAAACAU